GAUGAACGCUGGCGGCGUGCCUAAUACAUGCAAGUCGAGCGAACAGACGAGGAGCUUGCUCCUCUGACGUUAGCGGCGGACGGGUGAGUAACACGUGGAUAACCUACCUAUAAGACUGGGAUAACUUCGGGAAACCGGAGCUAAUACCGGAUAAUAUAUUGAACCGCAUGGUUCAAUAGUGAAAGACGGUUUUGCUGUCACUUAUAGAUGGAUCCGCGCCGCAUUAGCUAGUUGGUAAGGUAACGGCUUACCAAGGCAACGAUGCGUAGCCGACCUGCGAGGGUGAUCGCCCACACUGGAACUGAGACACGGUCCAGACUCCUACGGGAGGCAGCAGUAGGGAAUCUUCCGCAAUGGGCGAAAGCCUGACGGAGCAACGCCGCGUGAGUGAUGAAGGUCUUCGGAUCGUAAAACUCUGUUAUUAGGGAAGAACAAAUGUGUAAGUAACUAUGCACGUCUUGACGGUACCUAAUCAGAAAGCCACGGCUAACUACGUG
Molecule: ribosomal RNA, 497 nt
Filed under: uncultured bacterium
Lineage: Bacteria
Description: partial 16S ribosomal RNA
Rfam family: Bacterial small subunit ribosomal RNA
Source: RNAcentral